AACGCUAGCUACAGGCUUAACACAUGCAAGUCGAGGGGCAGCAUUUUAGUUUGCUUGCAAACUGAAGAUGGCGACCGGCGCACGGGUGAGUAACACGUAUCCAACCUGCCGAUAACUCCGGAAUAGCCUUUCGAAAGAAAGAUUAAUACCGGAUAGCAUACGAAUAUCGCAUGAUAUUUUUAUUAAAGAAUUUCGGUUAUCGAUGGGGAUGCGUUCCAUUAGUUUGUUGGCGGGGUAACGGCCCACCAAGACAACGAUGGAUAGGGGUUCUGAGAGGAAGGUCCCCCACAUUGGAACUGAGACACGGUCCAAACUCCUACGGGAGGCAGCAGUGAGGAAUAUUGGUCAAUGGGCGAGAGCCUGAACCAGCCAAGUAGCGUGAAGGAUGAAGGCUCUAUGGGUCGUAAACUUCUUUUAUAUGGGAAUAAAGUUUUCCACGUGUGGAAUUUUGUAUGUACCAUAUGAAUAAGGAUCGGCUAACUCCGUGCCAGCAGCCGCGGUAAUACGGAGGAUCCGAGCGUUAUCCGGAUUUAUUGGGUUUAAAGGGAGCGUAGGUGGAUUGUUAAGUCAGUUGUGAAAGUUUGCGGCUCAACCGUAAAAUUGCAGUUGAAACUGGCAGUCUUGAGUACAGUAGAGGUGGGCGGAAUUCGUGGUGUAGCGGUGAAAUGCUUAGAUAUCACGAAGAACUCCGAUUGCGAAGGCAGCUCACUAGACUGUCACUGACACUGAUGCUCGAAAGUGUGGGUAUCAAACAGGAUUAGAUACCCUGGUAGUCCACACAGUAAACGAUGAAUACUCGCUGUUUGCGAUAUACAGUAAGCGGCCAAGCGAAAGCAUUAAGUAUUCCACCUGGGGAGUACGCCGGCAACGGUGAAACUCAAAGGAAUUGACGGGGGCCCGCACAAGCGGAGGAACAUGUGGUUUAAUUCGAUGAUACGCGAGGAACCCUACCCGGGCUUAAAUUGCAACAGAAUAUAUUGGAAACAGUAUAGCCGUAAGGCUGUUGUGAAGGUGCUGCAUGGUUGUCGUCAGCUCGUGCCGUGAGGUGUCGGCUUAAGUGCCAUAACGAGCGCAACCCUUAUCUUUAGUUACUAACAGGUGAUGCUGAGGACUCUAGAGAGACUGCCGUCGUAAGAUGUGAGGAAGGUGGGGAUGACGUCAAAUCAGCACGGCCCUUACGUCCGGGGCUACACACGUGUUACAAUGGGGGGUACAGAAGGCGGCUACCUGGUGACAGGAUGCUAAUCCCAAAAACCUCUCUCAGUUCGGAUCGAAGUCUGCAACCCGACUUCGUGAAGCUGGAUUCGCUAGUAAUCGCGCAUCAGCCAUGGCGCGGUGAAUACGUUCCCGGGCCUUGUACACACCGCCCGUCAAGCCAUGAAAGCCGGGGGUACCUGAAGUACGUAACCGCAAGGAGCGUCCUAGGGUAAAACUGGUAAUUGGGGCU
RNAcentral lists this ribosomal RNA (1447 nucleotides) under uncultured organism. Its description in RNAcentral is "SSU rRNA". It matches the Rfam family "Bacterial small subunit ribosomal RNA". The record is from RNAcentral.